RNAcentral lists this ribosomal RNA (551 nucleotides) under uncultured eukaryote. Its description in RNAcentral is "SSU rRNA". It matches the Rfam family "Eukaryotic small subunit ribosomal RNA", at positions 20 to 575 of the family's 1831-position model. The record is from RNAcentral.
GUAGUCAUAUGCUUGUCUCAAAGAUUAAGCCAUGCAUGUCUAAGUAUAAGCAAUCUAUACCGUGAAACUGCGAAUGGCUCAUUAAAUCAGUUAUCGUUUAUUUGAUAGUACCUUACUACUUGGAUAACCGUGGUAAUUCUAGAGCUAAUACAUGCUAAAAGCCCCGACUUCGGAAGGGGCGUAUUUAUUAGAUAAAAACCAAUGCCCUUCGGGGCUCCUUGGUGAUUCAUAAUAACUUAACGAAUCGCAUGGCCUUGUGCCGGCGAUGGUUCAUUCAAAUUUCUGCCCUAUCAACUUUCGAUGGUAGGAUAGUGGCCCACCAUGGUUUCAACGGGUAACGGGGAAUUAGGGUUCUAUUCCGGAGAGGGAGCCUGAGACACGGCUACCACAUCCAAGGAAGGCAGCAGGCGCGCAAAUUACCCAAUCCCGACACGGGGAGGUAGUGACAAUAAAUACUGAUACAGGGCUCUUUUGGGUCUUGUAAUUGGAAUGAGUACAAUUUAAAUCCCUUAACGAGGAACAAUUGGGGGGGCAAGUCUGGUGCAGCAGCC